GUAUGGAGAGCUCAGUCGGUAGAGCAUGAGACUCUUAAUCUCAGGGUCGUGGGUUAGAGCCUCACUUCUCGUG
This 73-nucleotide transfer RNA is filed under the name Cricetulus griseus (Chinese hamster). It matches the Rfam family "tRNA". From Rfam's summary of the family: Transfer RNA (tRNA) molecules are approximately 80 nucleotides in length. Their secondary structure includes four short double-helical elements and three loops (D, anti-codon, and T loops). Further hydrogen bonds mediate the characteristic L-shaped molecular structure. tRNAs have two regions of fundamental functional importance: the anti-codon, which is responsible for specific mRNA codon recognition, and the 3' end, to which the tRNAs corresponding amino acid is attached (by aminoacyl-tRNA synthetases). tRNAs cope with the degeneracy of the genetic code in two manners: having more than one tRNA (with a specific anti-codon) for a particular amino acid; and 'wobble' base-pairing, i.e. permitting non-standard base-pairing at the 3rd anti-codon position. Lineage: Eukaryota; Metazoa; Chordata; Mammalia; Rodentia; Cricetidae. The record is from Rfam by way of RNAcentral.